GUUAGUGAAGAGAGUCACAUCCAAGCGAAGGGGGAGAUGUAGUCCUAAUGAGGCAACAAAUUAAAGACCACACCCUGCGAUAUUUGGAACAACGAAUGCAAAGGUGUCACUGUUUCCUCUGCCCUGGUUACAGACUGACAGGCUGGAGGCAAUGCCAUGGGGAGUUCCAGCACAACUUGAACUCCUCCAAAAGGUGCAUGGAGAAUAGAAAAAGUAUACAGAACAUCCUCGAGGCUUCGGACA
This is a long non-coding RNA of Notothenia coriiceps (black rockcod), 243 nucleotides long. RefSeq lists it as uncharacterized. The record is from RefSeq and is a predicted model, not a curated record. The transcript is spliced from 3 exons. Lineage: Eukaryota; Metazoa; Chordata; Actinopteri; Perciformes; Nototheniidae.